Molecule: ribosomal RNA, 988 nt
Filed under: Bacillus pumilus
Lineage: Bacteria; Bacillati; Bacillota; Bacilli; Caryophanales; Bacillaceae
Description: bacterial SSU rRNA
Rfam family: Bacterial small subunit ribosomal RNA
Source: RNAcentral
GGGCUAUCAUGCAGUCGAGCGGACAGAAGGGAGCUUGCUCCCGGAUGUUAGCGGCGGACGGGUGAGUAACACGUGGGUAACCUGCCUGUAAGACUGGGAUAACUCCGGGAAACCGGAGCUAAUACCGGAUAGUUCCUUGAACCGCAUGGUUCAAGGAUGAAAGACGGUUUCGGCUGUCACUUACAGAUGGACCCGCGGCGCAUUAGCUAGUUGGUGGGGUAAUGGCUCACCAAGGCGACGAUGCGUAGCCGACCUGAGAGGGUGAUCGGCCACACUGGGACUGAGACACGGCCCAGACUCCUACGGGAGGCAGCAGUAGGGAAUCUUCCGCAAUGGACGAAAGUCUGACGGAGCAACGCCGCGUGAGUGAUGAAGGUUUUCGGAUCGUAAAGCUCUGUUGUUAGGGAAGAACAAGUGCGAGAGUAACUGCUCGCACCUUGACGGUACCUAACCAGAAAGCCACGGCUAACUACGUGCCAGCAGCCGCGGUAAUACGUAGGUGGCAAGCGUUGUCCGGAAUUAUUGGGCGUAAAGGGCUCGCAGGCGGUUUCUUAAGUCUGAUGUGAAAGCCCCCGGCUCAACCGGGGAGGGUCAUUGGAAACUGGGAAACUUGAGUGCAGAAGAAGAGAGUGGAAUUCCACGUGUAGCGGUGAAAUGCGUAGAGAUGUGGAGGAACACCAGUGGCGAAAGGCGACUCUCUGGUCUGUAACUGACGCUGAAGAGCGAAAGCGUGGGGAGCGAACAGGAUUAGAUACCCUGGUAGUCCACGCCGUAAACGAUGAGUGCUAAGUGUUAGGGGUUUCCGCCCCUUAGUGCUGCAGCUAACGCAUUAAGCACUCCGCCUGGGGGAGUACGGUCGCAAGACUGAAACUCAAAGGAAUUGACGGGGGCCCGCACAGCGGUGGAGCAUGUGGUUUAAUUCGAAGCACGCGAGAACCUUACCAGGUCUUGACAUCCUCUGACACUCUAGAGAUAGGCUGUUCCCUUC